Small nucleolar RNA from Sander lucioperca (pikeperch), 93 nucleotides. Its record names the gene SNORD14. It matches the Rfam family "Small nucleolar RNA SNORD14". From Rfam's summary of the family: U14 small nucleolar RNA (U14 snoRNA) is required for early cleavages of eukaryotic precursor rRNAs. In yeasts, this molecule possess a stem-loop region (known as the Y-domain) which is essential for function. NCBI's taxonomy places the organism in Eukaryota, Metazoa, Chordata, Actinopteri, Perciformes, Percidae. The record is from Ensembl.
UCACUGUGAUGACGAUUUUCCUGCCAUUCGUAGUUUCCACCAGAGGUUGAAAGACCAAAGAUGGCCCAACUCCUUCCUUGGAUGUCUGAGUGA